CAGUCGCCGCGGGAACACGAAGGGUGCAAGCGUUACUCGGAAUUACUGGGCGUAAAGCGUGCGUAGGUGGUGGUUUAAGUCCGUUGUGAAAGCCCUGGGCUCAACCUGGGAAUUGCAGUGGAUACUGGGUCACUAGAGUGUGGUAGAGGAUAGUGGAAUUUCCGGUGUAGCAGUGAAAUGCGUAGAGAUCGGAAGGAACAUCUGUGGCGAAGGCGACUAUCUGGGCCAACACUGACACUGAGGCACGAAAGCGUGGGGAGCAAACAGGAUUAGAGACCCCCGUAGUCCCUGUCUCUUAUAC
This 301-nucleotide ribosomal RNA is filed under the name uncultured bacterium. RNAcentral describes it as "partial 16S ribosomal RNA". It matches the Rfam family "Bacterial small subunit ribosomal RNA", at positions 509 to 807 of the family's 1533-position model. The record is from RNAcentral.